CUUGUGAUCCCAGCCAUCCUUGUUAUCAAUGGCCGAAAGGCUGCAAAGACUCAGGAAGCAGCCACGAAGAAGCAAGGAGGACCUUCUGCACCAAGUGAUGCAGCAGUCCCUUACUGAAAAUCAAAAAGUACAGAAGUGGCUGGAGAAUGAAAGGAGGGUCCACCAGGAGAAGGCGGAUUGCUGGCAACAAACCACGGAGUGGCUCCUAAGCAUUAUGGCAUGCCAAGUGGAUUCGAUGCAGGUACUCAUAGCACUAUAUACGGAGCAGAUCCACACCCAUUCCCCCCCGCAGCCCUUGUCCCAAAACUCUUUCCCUUGCACCCCCAUGUCACCGCCAACCCACUUUCCCCUGCAUCCAGUGUCUUAUCGCCACCAGCUGGCUUCAAUACUUUUAGCUUCACCGCCCAGCCCUGCAAAC
Molecule: non-coding RNA, 418 nt
Organism: Chelonoidis abingdonii (Abingdon island giant tortoise)
Lineage: Eukaryota; Metazoa; Chordata; Testudines; Testudinidae
Source: RefSeq, a predicted model, not a curated record